RNAcentral lists this ribosomal RNA (631 nucleotides) under uncultured bacterium. Its description in RNAcentral is "bacterial SSU rRNA". It matches the Rfam family "Bacterial small subunit ribosomal RNA", at positions 62 to 710 of the family's 1533-position model. The record is from RNAcentral.
UCGAGCGAGUGGAGUUCUUCGGAACAAAGCUAGCGGCGGACGGCUGUGUAACACGUGGGCAACCUGCCUCAUAGAGGGGAAUAGCCUCCCGAAAGGGAGAUUAAUACCGCAUAGGAUUGUAGCUUCGCAUGAAGUAGCAAUUAAAGGAGCAAUCCGCUAUGAGAUGGGCCCGCGGCGCAUUAGCUAGUUGGUGAGGUAACGGCUCACCAAGGCGACGAUGCGUAGCCGACCUGAGAGGGUGAUCGGCCACAUUGGGACUGAGACACGGCCCAGACUCCUACGGGAGGCAGCAGUGGGGAAUAUUGCACAAUGGGGGAAACCCUGAUGCAGCAACGCCGCGUGAGUGAUGACGGCCUUCGGGUUGUAAAGCUCUGCCUUCAGGGACGAUAAUGACGGUACCUGAGGAGGAAGCCACGGCUAACUACGUGCCAGCAGCCGCGGUAAUACGUAGGUGGCGAGCGUUGUCCGGAUUUACUGGGCGUAAAGGGAGCGUAGGCGGACUUUUAAGUGAGAUGUGAAAUACCCGGGCUCAACUUGGGUGCUGCAUUUCAAACUGGAAGUCUAGAGUGCAGGAGAGGAGAAUGGAAUUCCUAGUGUAGCGGUGAAAUGCGUAGAGAUUAGGAAGAACACC